Molecule: ribosomal RNA, 527 nt
Filed under: Dorsanum miran
Lineage: Eukaryota; Metazoa; Mollusca; Gastropoda; Neogastropoda; Nassariidae
Description: partial 16S ribosomal RNA
Rfam family: Bacterial large subunit ribosomal RNA
Source: RNAcentral
AAAAACAUGGCUCCUUGAAUUUUAUUUAUAAGGAGUCGGACCUGCCCAGUGAAUUUUUUAACGGCCGCGGUACUCUGACCGUGCAAAGGUAGCAUAAUCAUUUGCCUUAUAAUUGAAGGCUAGUAUGAAUGGUUUGACAAGAAUGUAGCUGUCUCUUCAUGAUUAGAUAGAAUUUUAUUUUCAGGUGAAGAAGCCUGUAUAAAAUUAAAAGACAAGAAGACCCUAUCGAGCUUGAAAAAAAUUAACAGAGUUAAACAUUAAUAAAGCUAAAAAAUUGACUGUUAAAUAUUUUAGUUGGGGCGACUGAGGAACAUAAAAAGCUUCCUUUAAAAACUAGUUUAAAUCAUACUAGAAUUGAUCCAAAACAUUUUGAUUAAAGGAAUUAGUUACCGUAGGGAUAACAGCAUUAUCUUUUUUAAGAGCUCAUAUCGAAAAAAAGGUUUGUGACCUCGAUGUUGGACCAGAAUAUCCUAAAGGUGCAGCAGCCUUUAAGGGUUGGUCUGUUCGACCAUUAAAAUUCUACCUGA